Molecule: ribosomal RNA, 378 nt
Filed under: bacterium
Lineage: Bacteria
Description: bacterial SSU rRNA
Rfam family: Bacterial small subunit ribosomal RNA
Source: RNAcentral
UGCGAGUCGACGGUAACAGGAAGCAGCUUGCUGCUUUGCUGACGAGUGGCGGACGGGUGAGUAAUGUCUGGGAAACUGCCUGAUGGAGGGGGAUAACUACUGGAAACGGUAGCUAAUACCGCAUAACGUCGCAAGACCAAAGAGGGGGACCUUCGGGCCUCUUGCCAUCGGAUGUGCCCAGAUGGGAUUAGCUAGUAGGUGGGGUAACGGCUCACCUAGGCGACGAUCCCUAGCUGGUCUGAGAGGAUGACCAGCCACACUGGAACUGAGACACGGUCCAGACUCCUACGGGAGGCAGCAGUGGGGAAUAUUGCACAAUGGGCGCAAGCCUGAUGCAGCCAUGCCGCGUGUAUGAAGAAGGCCUUCGGGUUGUAAAGU